ACUCCUACGGGAGGCAGCAGUGGGGAAUAUUGCACAAUGGGGAAACCCUGAUGCAGCCAUGCCGCGUGUGUGAAGAAGGCCUUCGGUUGUAAAGCACUUUCAGUAGGGAGGAAGGUAGUGUAGUUAACACCUGCAUUAUUUGACGUUACCUACAGAAGAAGCACCGGCUAACUCCGUGCCAGCAGCCGCGGUAAUACGGAGGGGUGCGAGCGUUAAUCGGAAUUACUGGGCGUAAAGCGCAUGCAGGCGGCCUGUUAAGUCAGAUGUGAAAGCCCGGGGGCUUAACCUCGGAAUUGCAUUUGAAACUGGCAGGCUAGAGUCUUGUAGAGGGGGUAGAAUUUCAGGUGUAGCGGUGAAAUGCGUAGAGAUCUGAAGGAAUACCAGUGGCGAAGGCGGCCCCCUGGACAAAGACUGACGCUCAGAUGCGAAAGCGUGGGGAGCGAAACAGGAUU
RNAcentral lists this ribosomal RNA (452 nucleotides) under uncultured bacterium. RNAcentral's name for it is "bacterial SSU rRNA". It matches the Rfam family "Bacterial small subunit ribosomal RNA", at positions 335 to 779 of the family's 1533-position model. The record is from RNAcentral.